This 274-nucleotide ribosomal RNA is filed under the name Salmonella enterica subsp. enterica serovar Infantis. RNAcentral describes it as "partial 23S ribosomal RNA". It matches the Rfam family "Bacterial large subunit ribosomal RNA", at positions 1124 to 1397 of the family's 2925-position model. The record is from RNAcentral. RNAcentral also lists the same sequence under 5 other names. Lineage: Bacteria; Pseudomonadati; Pseudomonadota; Gammaproteobacteria; Enterobacterales; Enterobacteriaceae.
UAAAGAAAGCGUAAUAGCUCACUGGUCGAGUCGGCCUGCGCGGAAGAUGUAACGGGGCUAAACCAUGCACCGAAGCUGCGGCAGCGACACUGUGUGUUGUUGGGUAGGGGAGCGUUCUGUAAGCCUGUGAAGGUGUGUCGUGAGGCAUGCUGGAGGUAUCAGAAGUGCGAAUGCUGACAUAAGUAACGAUAAAGCGGGUGAAAAGCCCGCUCGCCGGAAGACCAAGGGUUCCUGUCCAACGUUAAUCGGGGCAGGGUGAGUCGACCCCUAAGGC